UUAUUGGAGAGUUUGAUCCUGGCUCAGGAUGACGCUGGCGGGUGCUAUACAGUCAAGUCGACGGAAUGGAUUAGGCUUUGCUCUUUGAAGUUAGCGGCGGACGGGUAGUAACACGUGGGUACCUCCCAUAAGACUGGGAAUACCUCCGGGAAACCGAGGCUAAUACCGGAUUAACAUUUUGAACCGCAUGGUUCGCCAUUGAAAGGCGGCUUCGGCUGUCCGACUUAUGGAUGGACGCACGCGUCGCAUUAGCUAGUUGGUGAGGUAACGGCUCACCAAGAACGAAUGCGUAGCCGACCUGAGAGGGUGAUCGGCACACUGGGACUGAGACGACGGCCCACUCCUACGGGAGGCAAGCAGUAAGGCGAAUCUUCCGCAAUGGACGAAAGUCUGACAGGAGCAACGCCCAGCGUGAGUGAUGAAGGCUUUCGGGUCGUAAAACUCUGUUGUUAGGCGAAGAACAAGUGCUUAGUUUGAAUUAAGCUAGCACCUUGACGGUACCGUAACCGAAAGCCACGGCUAACUACGCUGCAGCAGCAUGGCGGUAAUACGUAGGUGGCAAGCGUUAUCGGAUUAUUGGGCGUGUAAAGCGCGGCAAGGUGGUUCUUAAGUCUGAUGGAAGCCCACGGCUCACCGUGGAGGGUCAUUGGAAACUGUGGAGACUUGACGUGCAGAGAAGAGGAAAGUGGAAUUCCAUGUGUAAGCGGGGUGAAAUGCGUUAGAGAUAUGGAGGAACACCAAGUGGCUUGAAGGCGACUUUCUGUUCUGUAACUGACACUGAGGCCGCGAAAGCGUGGGGAAGCAAACAGGGAUUAGAUACCUGGUAGUCCACGCCGUAAACGAUGGUUGCUAAGUUGUUAGAGGGUUUCCGCCCCUUUAUGCUGAAGUUUAACGCAUUAAGCACUCGCCUGGGAGUACGGCCGCAAGGCUGAAACUCAAAGGAAUUGACGGCGGGCCCGCACAAGCGGCUGAGCAUGUGGUUUUAAUUUCGAAGCAACCGCGAAGGAAACCUUACCAGGUCUUGACAUCCUCUUGAAACCCUAGAGAUAGGGCUUCUCCUUCCGGGAGCAGGAGUGACAGGGUGGUGCUGGUUGUCGCAGCUUCGUGGUCGUGAGAUGUUGGGGUUAAGUCCCGCAACGAGCGCAACCCUUUGAUCUUAGUUGCCAAUCCAUUAAGUUGGGCACUCUAAGGUGACUGCCGGUGACAAAACCGGAGGAGGUGGGGAUGACGUCAAUCAUCAUGCCCCUUAUUGACCUGGGCCUACACACGUGCUACAUGACGGUACAAAGAGCUGCAAGACGCGAGGUGGAGCUAAUCUCAUAAACGGUUCUCAGGUUUCGGAAUUGUAGCGCUGCAACUCGCCUACAUUGAAAGCUGAAAUCGCUAGUUAAUCGCGGACAGCAUGCCGCGGUGAAUACGUUCCCGGCCUUGUACACACCGCCGUCACACCACGAGAGUUUUGAACACCGAAGUCGGGGGUAACCUUUUUGGAGCCAGCCGCCUAAGGGUGGCGACAGUGGGAUUGGGGUGAAGUCGUAACAAGGUAGCCGGUAUCGCGAAGGUGCGGCUGGAUUCACCUCCUUUCU
Molecule: ribosomal RNA, 1586 nt
Filed under: Bacillus sp. UFRGS-B20
Lineage: Bacteria; Bacillati; Bacillota; Bacilli; Caryophanales; Bacillaceae
Description: bacterial SSU rRNA
Rfam family: Bacterial small subunit ribosomal RNA
Source: RNAcentral